GCUGGUAAGAUUGGCAAGUGUCUACAAUGAUUUCAGCUUUUGAAUAUUCCUUCUCACUGUAGAAUGAUGGACUUUAAAUUGUUUGGAAAUGGCCUUACACCCUUCCCAGUUUGAUGGGCAGCAACAAUUACUUCUCUAAGAUCAUUGCUGAUGUAUUUCCUUCUUGGCAUUGUGUUAACACACACCAGAAUUCUCCAGACACGCAAACUGCUAAAACUUUGGCUUUUAUAG
Pelobates cultripes (western spadefoot toad) is the source of this 231-nucleotide non-coding RNA. NCBI's taxonomy places the organism in Eukaryota, Metazoa, Chordata, Amphibia, Anura, Pelobatidae. The record is from the annotation of a GenBank genome assembly.